CGUAGGUGGCAAGCGUUGUCCGGAAUUAUUGGGCGUAAAGCGCGCGCAGGCGGUUCCUUAAGUCUGAUGUGAAAGCCCCCGGCUCAACCGGGGGAGGUCAUUGGAAACUGGGGAACUUGAGUGCAGAAGAGAAGAGCGGAAUUCCACGUGUAGCGGUGAAAUGCGUAGAGAUGUGGAGGAACACCAGUGGCGAAGGCGGCUCUUUGGUCUGUAACUGACGCUGAGGCGCGAAAGCGUGGGGAGCAAACAGGAUUAGAUACCCUGGUAGUCCACGCCGUAAACGAUGAGUGCUAAGUGUUAGAGGGUUUCCGCCCUUUAGUGCUGCAGCUAACGCAUUAAGCACUCCGCCUGGGGAGUACGGCCGCAAGGCUG
Molecule: ribosomal RNA, 372 nt
Filed under: uncultured organism
Description: bacterial SSU rRNA
Rfam family: Bacterial small subunit ribosomal RNA
Source: RNAcentral